RNAcentral lists this ribosomal RNA (320 nucleotides) under uncultured Chloroflexota bacterium. Its description in RNAcentral is "bacterial SSU rRNA". It matches the Rfam family "Bacterial small subunit ribosomal RNA", at positions 28 to 351 of the family's 1533-position model. The record is from RNAcentral. Lineage: Bacteria; Bacillati; Chloroflexota.
GAUAAACGUUUGCGGCGUGCCUGAUGCAUGCAAGUCGAACGAUCUGAUUUUCGCAAGAUUGAUCAGGGAGUGGCGAACGGCUGAGUAACGCGUAAGUAACCUACCCUUAAGUGGGGAUAACUUGCCGAAAGGCAGGCUAAUACCGCAUGUGAUAAUAGGCGUUAGUCUAUUAUUAAAGCUUUGUCGCUUGAGGAGGGGCUUGCGUCUGAUUAGCUAGUUGGUAGGGUAAUGGCCUACCAAGGCGAUGAUCAGUAGCUGGUCUGAGAGGACAACCAGCCAGACGGGGACUGAGAUACGGCCCUGACUCCUACGGGAGGCAG